AGCAGUCGCCGCGGUAAUACGUAGGGUGCGAGCGUUAAUCGGAAUUACUGGGCGUAAAGCGUGCGCAGGCGGUUGUGUAAGUCAGAUGUGAAAUCCCCGAGCUUAACUUGGGAACUGCAUUUGAAACUGGCAAGCUAGAGUCUUGUAGAGGGGGGUAGAAUUCCAGGUGUAGCGGUGAAACGCGUAGAGAUCUGGAGGAAUACCGGUGGCGAAGGCGGCUUGCUAGCCAAAGACUGACGCUCAUGCACGAAAGCGUGGGGAGCAAAUAGGAUUAGAUACCCCAGUAGUCCCUGUCUCUUAUAC
RNAcentral lists this ribosomal RNA (303 nucleotides) under uncultured bacterium. RNAcentral describes it as "partial 16S ribosomal RNA". It matches the Rfam family "Bacterial small subunit ribosomal RNA", at positions 507 to 807 of the family's 1533-position model. The record is from RNAcentral.